AGAUUGAACGCUGGCGGCAUGCCUAACACAUGCAAGUCGAACGAGGGUAGCAAUACUCUAGUGGCGGACGGGUGAGUAAUACGUAGGAAUCUGCCCUUAAGUGGGGGAUAACCCGGGGAAACCCGGAUUAAUACCGCAUAAUCUUCAAGAAGCAAAGCAGGGGAUCGCAAGACCUUGCGCUUUUGGAGGAGCCUACGUCGGAUUAGCUUGUUGGUGGGGUAAUGGCCCACCAAGGCAACGAUCCGUAAC
This 249-nucleotide ribosomal RNA is filed under the name uncultured bacterium. Its description in RNAcentral is "partial small subunit ribosomal RNA". It matches the Rfam family "Bacterial small subunit ribosomal RNA", at positions 26 to 287 of the family's 1533-position model. The record is from RNAcentral.